UGGGGAAUAUUGCACAAUGGGCGCAAGCCUGAUGCAGCCAUGCCGCGUGUAUGAAGAAGGCCUUCGGGUUGUAAAGUACUUUCAGCGGGGAGGAAGGGAGUAAAGUUAAUACCUUUGCUCAUUGACGUUACCCGCAGAAGAAGCACCGGCUAACUCCGUGCCAGCAGCCGCGGUAAUACGGAGGGUGCAAGCGUUAAUCGGAAUAACUGGGCGUAAAGCGCACGCAGGCGGUCUGUCAAGUCGGAUGUGAAAUCCCCGGGCUCAACCUGGGAACUGCAUUCGAAACUGGCAGGCUAGAGUCUUGUAGAGGGGGGUAGAAUUCCAGGUGUAGCGGUGAAAUGCGUAGAGAUCUGGAGGAAUACCGGUGGCGAAGGCGGCCCCCUGGACGAAGACUGACGCUCAGGUGCGAAAGCGUGGGGAGCAAACAGG
RNAcentral lists this ribosomal RNA (429 nucleotides) under Chloroflexota bacterium. Its description in RNAcentral is "Chloroflexi bacterium partial 16S ribosomal RNA". It matches the Rfam family "Bacterial small subunit ribosomal RNA", at positions 355 to 776 of the family's 1533-position model. The record is from RNAcentral. Lineage: Bacteria; Bacillati; Chloroflexota.